Molecule: long non-coding RNA, 724 nt
Filed under: Homo sapiens (human)
Lineage: Eukaryota; Metazoa; Chordata; Mammalia; Primates; Hominidae
Description: non-protein coding lnc-SMYD1-7:1
Source: RNAcentral
GCUGCUUGCUUCGCCCGCUUGGCCUGGCAGUUCCCGGCGCGGCUCUAAUGUCUUGCUGGCGCGACUGGUUUUGAUCCUGUCCGUCUGCCCUCCUUUUUGGGGCAAGGAAAAGUUCGUGGGGGUCGCUCGCUCGCCUUGGGAGAAUGAAUAUAAAGCCAACUGAUUAAAAAAAAAAAAACUGGAAAUUUACAGUUCCACCCUCAAAGUAUCUCAAAAAUACAUGAUCUGUUGCCUUAUCAACAGAACCUACAAUAUAGGUUCGUGUAACAAAUGCGCAGUAAGCCAAACACCGACAUAUUCAGUGCUUAGGAGCGGGGGAAGGUUUAUUCCGUUUGGCCAAAGCGAGAGAGCGGGAGAAGAAGUCUCUCAAAUACUGACAUGCCUUAGAACGUAACUGGGGGGCCUUUAUGAGUAAGGUAAGAAUACAGAGGGUGGGAUCCCCCAUGAUCAAAGCUGUUUCCUCCCUGGGACUCUAGGUCUCAUCUGCCCCAUUAGAUGAUGCCCCAUCUGGACCAUCAAGGAGGUCUGCGUGACCUAAGGGUCAUGGUUGUUUUGUUUGUGAUAGGGUCUCGCGUUGUCGCCCAGGCUGGAGUGCAGUGGUGGGAUCACCACUCACUGCAGCCUCGACCUCCCAGGCUCAAGCGAUCCUCUCACCUCAGCCUCCCAAGUAGCUGGGACCGCAGGCAUGCACACAUGCCCGGGUGAUUUUUGUUCAUUUUUUAUA